Molecule: ribosomal RNA, 473 nt
Filed under: uncultured bacterium
Lineage: Bacteria
Description: bacterial SSU rRNA
Rfam family: Bacterial small subunit ribosomal RNA
Source: RNAcentral
AUGUGACGAGUUUGAUCAUGGCUCAGGAUGAACGCUAGCGGCAGGCCUAAUACAUGCAAGUCGAACGGACUUAUAUGUUUUUCGGAAUAUAUAUUAGUGGCGCACGGGUGCGUAACGCGUGGGAACCUGCCUUUAGGUUCGGAAUAACUCAGAGAAAUUUGAGCUAAUACCGGAUAAUGUCUUCGGACCAAAGAUUUAUCGCCUUUAGAUGGGCCCGCGUUGGAUUAGCUAGUUGGUGGGGUAAAGGCCUACCAAGGCGACGAUCCAUAGCUGGUCUGAGAGGAUGAUCAGCCACACUGGGACUGAGACACGGCCCAGACUCCUACGGGAGGCAGCAGUGGGGAAUAUUGGACAAUGGGCGAAAGCCUGAUCCAGCAAUGCCGCGUGAGUGAUGAAGGCCUUAGGGUUGUAAAGCUCUUUUACCCGGGAUGAUAAUGACAGUACCGGGAGAAUAAGCUCCGGCUAACUCCGUG